Esox lucius (northern pike) is the source of this 600-nucleotide long non-coding RNA. RefSeq lists it as uncharacterized. The record is from RefSeq and is a predicted model, not a curated record. Lineage: Eukaryota; Metazoa; Chordata; Actinopteri; Esociformes; Esocidae. The transcript is spliced from 3 exons.
GAACACAGAACAUCCUUGGGAACACUACUCAACACAUUGAAGGUGAACUGGUCUAGAGGAAUCAGGUGGAGGGGUCCAAACUGGCUCAGAUGAUAGUGACCCUCACAACUGUGCUGCCAGAGUGGAAGAAGUCCACAGCAGAUAUGCCUUUGGGGUCGUGCAUGAUUUUGGUACUCUGUGGCGCCAGCAGGGGUUCUUUACAGCAUCUGGUAAGACAACCUGUCACUCUAGGUUAGUUGCUAAUCUACUGGACUCUAUCCUACUAACAGACUCUAUAUCUGUGUGCAAAUGUCAGGCUCAUACUAACGCCUCUGAUUCCAUUUCUAAAGGUUACACUGUAGCUGACAUGGCUGCUAAAGCUGCUGCCACGUCUCCUGUCUCCCCCAUUUUGCAGAUGGUUUCUCUGCCUCCAACUGAUGUUUUCUCUCGUAAUGACGUUUCUGACUUAGAAUCAGUCGCUUACACUGUGGAGGUCUCUCAUCUGAAGCGGUUGAAAUGCUCAUUUGACCAGAAGCUGAAGCGUUGGGUUUGUCCUAAUGACCUCCCUGUCCUUCUUUGGUCCUGUUACCUCAUGUUGCAAAGUUGGCACAUGGCCAAGAC